UCUCCGGGUACAAAUCACCUUUUACCUAGCUCUCAUCCCAGCAGCUGCUUUUUUACAUUUCACCCCGGCGGGUUGCUCGGCAGCAGAGGCGGUGGCGGCGGCGGCGGUGGCGAGGGAGCUAGGUUAUCAAACUUUAUCUUUCAAAAAGACUUCUCUUUCUUACUCGGCAGCCGCUGCGUUCUUUUAUAUAUACUUUUCUUCUCUGCUCACAGAGCAAAAUGGGAAACUCUAAAUGAGAAAAAAGAACACACACACAACCGACGCGGAGAAAAACAGCAGCAGCACAAAAUGCGCCGCUGCAUGAAUAUGAAAUGAGCUCCCUGUUUCGGUUUUCCAAAGAUUUCGCAACGCAGAAACAGCCGAGACUUGGCGCACAAUCGGGCUGAAAAAUUGAUUCGCGGCGUCAGGCCCUCGGCUUGGAAUGCAGUUGUGAUGCCCAUCCAAGAUUCCCUUUAGCAGAAGGAGCAGCCGUGGAUGCUUAAGUGGAACAGUAUUAUCCAUCUCUGGAGCCUUGUUUUGGUCGCCUUGGAGAGAGAAGAGGCAAGAGGGACCCGCCUCCGCGGUGCAACUCGCAAACUGGUGUGGCAAGAACACCGAAAGCAGGUCCAUUUAUUCGCUGGCCAACACGAACAUUUCGAUGCAAAUCCGGCCGGGCCAGCCAGCAGUCGAAUAAAUUAAUAUUCCUCACGACAUUCCAAAAUAAGCAUCGUCUGUGUGUGUAUAUAAAUUCACUCGAGCGGUGAAUAAUUUUUACUCAUAUGUGGAAAAUUGUCGAUGUAACCGAUUUGGCCAAUAAAUUGAUCAAACUUGA
Molecule: long non-coding RNA, 811 nt
Organism: Cloeon dipterum
Lineage: Eukaryota; Metazoa; Arthropoda; Insecta; Ephemeroptera; Baetidae
Exons: 3
Source: RefSeq, a predicted model, not a curated record